RNAcentral lists this ribosomal RNA (262 nucleotides) under Salmonella enterica subsp. enterica serovar Montevideo. RNAcentral describes it as "partial 23S ribosomal RNA". It matches the Rfam family "Bacterial large subunit ribosomal RNA", at positions 1085 to 1345 of the family's 2925-position model. Lineage: Bacteria; Pseudomonadati; Pseudomonadota; Gammaproteobacteria; Enterobacterales; Enterobacteriaceae. The record is from RNAcentral.
CCAGACAGCCAGGAUGUUGGCUUAGAAGCAGCCAUCAUUUAAAGAAAGCGUAAUAGCUCACUGGUCGAGUCGGCCUGCGCGGAAGAUGUAACGGGGCUAAACCAUGCACCGAAGCUGCGGCAGCGACACUCAGGUGUUGUUGGGUAGGGGAGCGUUCUGUAAGCCUGCGAAGGUGGCCUGUGAGGGUUGCUGGAGGUAUCAGAAGUGCGAAUGCUGACAUAAGUAACGAUAAAGCGGGUGAAAAGCCCGCUCGCCGGAAGAC